This 90-nucleotide transfer RNA is filed under the name Betaproteobacteria bacterium. Its description in RNAcentral is "tRNA-Ser". It matches the Rfam family "tRNA". Rfam says of the family: Transfer RNA (tRNA) molecules are approximately 80 nucleotides in length. Their secondary structure includes four short double-helical elements and three loops (D, anti-codon, and T loops). The record is from RNAcentral. RNAcentral also lists the same sequence under 2 other names. Lineage: Bacteria; Pseudomonadati; Pseudomonadota; Betaproteobacteria.
GGAGCGGUGGCCGAGCGGUCGAAGGCGCACGCUUGGAAAGCGUGUGGGCAGGUGACUGUCCCGAGGGUUCGAAUCCCUUCCGCUCCGCCA